UACAGAGGGUGCGAGCGUUAAUCGGAAUUACUGGGCGUAAAGCGUACGUAGGUGGUUAUUUAAGUUAGGUGUGAAAUACCCGAGCUCAACUUGGGGAGGUCAUCUAAAACUGGGUAACUAGAGUACAGUAGAGGGAAGUGGAAUUUCCGGUGUAGCGGUGAAAUGCGUAGAUAUCGGAAGGAACACCAGUGGCGAAGGCG
RNAcentral lists this ribosomal RNA (200 nucleotides) under uncultured bacterium. RNAcentral describes it as "partial 16S ribosomal RNA". It matches the Rfam family "Bacterial small subunit ribosomal RNA", at positions 524 to 723 of the family's 1533-position model. The record is from RNAcentral.